This 92-nucleotide ribosomal RNA is filed under the name Bracteacoccus bullatus. RNAcentral's name for it is "partial 5.8S ribosomal RNA". It matches the Rfam family "5.8S ribosomal RNA", at positions 61 to 154 of the family's 154-position model. From Rfam's summary of the family: 5.8S ribosomal RNA (5.8S rRNA) is a component of the large subunit of the eukaryotic ribosome. It is transcribed by RNA polymerase I as part of the 45S precursor that also contains 18S and 28S rRNA. Functionally, it is thought that 5.8S rRNA may be involved in ribosome translocation. The record is from RNAcentral. Lineage: Eukaryota; Viridiplantae; Chlorophyta; Chlorophyceae; Sphaeropleales; Bracteacoccaceae.
CGUAGUGUGAAUUGCAGAUUCCGUGAACCAUCGAACUUUGAACGCAUAUUGCGCCCAAGACCUCGGUCGAGGGCAUGUCUGCCUCAGCGUCG